UGAGUAAUGCCUAGGAAUCUGCCAGGUAGUGGGGGACAACGUUUCGAAAGGAACGCUAAUACCGCAUACGUCCUACGGGAGAAAGCAGGGGACCUUCGGGCCUUGCGCUAUCAGAUGACCCUAAGAAAAGAUUAGCUAGUUGGUGAGGUAAUGGCUCACCAAGGCGACGAUCCGUAACUGGUCUGAGAGGAUGAUCAGUCACACUGGAACUGAGACACGGUCCAGACUCCUACGGGAGGCAGCAGUGGGGAAUAUUGGACAAUGGGCGAAAGCCUGAUCCAGCCAUGCCGCGUGUGUGAAGAAGGUCUUCGGAUUGUAAAGCACUUUAAGUUGGGAGGAAGGGCAGUAAGCUAAUACCUUGCUGUUUUGACGUUACCGACAGAAUAAGCACCGGCUAACUCUGUGCCAGCAGCCGCGGUAAUACAGAGGGUGCAAGCGUUAAUCGGAAUUACUGGGCGUAAAGCGCGCGUAGGUGGUUUGUUAAGUUGGAUGUGAAAGCCCCGGG
Molecule: ribosomal RNA, 505 nt
Filed under: uncultured bacterium
Lineage: Bacteria
Description: bacterial SSU rRNA
Rfam family: Bacterial small subunit ribosomal RNA
Source: RNAcentral